This 200-nucleotide ribosomal RNA is filed under the name uncultured eukaryote. RNAcentral describes it as "partial 18S ribosomal RNA". It matches the Rfam family "Eukaryotic small subunit ribosomal RNA", at positions 588 to 827 of the family's 1831-position model. The record is from RNAcentral.
GCUCCAAUAGCGUAUAUUAAAGUUGUUGCAGUUAAAACGCUCGUAGUCUGAGAUGUGGGAGUGGGGGAUGGGGGGGUAAUGUAAAUUGCCUUUUAUUUUCACCUCAUUGUGUAUUUAUUUACACGAGUUACUUUGAGGAAAUUAGGGUGUUCAAAGCAGGCGUUUGCUUGGAUACUGCAGCAUGGAAUAACGGAAUAGGA